UCCUGGAGGGCUGACCGGGCAUCCUCAUUGGUGUAGUUCGGUUGGGGCGCCAGAAGACGACAGUCUUCGGGGUUCCAGAUCGGAUUCCCGGUCACCUUGGCGGACCCGCCAUCGCAUUGAGACUUCGAAAGUGCGUACGAAGUCACGAGUGACCUCCGUUGCGUGCGCGGACUAAUAUCGAACGCAAGAUGUUAUCGGUCGAGGUCAGAUUUUCGACCCCCUCGACCCAGCCGAACCUCCAUCUAGUAAGUGUGACGUUCGUGAAACCGAAUAUCAUCCGGAGAAGUGCGUGUUACUCACGUGUUACGCGUUAUUUUCAUCGCAGUUUUAACCGCCCCGACGACCAUUCCCACGACUCUAACGUUUCUCUGCAGUUACUUAACCUACCUGCACACCACCUGCGACAAUCGCGUGCGAUAAGAAACUGCUAAGCUGCCCAUAUCGAACCUCUGCGUGUUGCUGGGAAACGAGAUCUAAAAUUCGCUGGGAGAGCUGGACCCAGAAGAUGAGUCUCAACCUCCGUUGCGGACUUGGUCCGGAGCCUGCGAGCUGGUGAGCAAUCAGUUUUGGCCAAUCUCGAGACUGCUAAUCACGAAACGUUGAUUGCCCCCUGAAACCACGCGGGGUGCCAUGGCAGGCCACAGACGAGAGACGUUCCUCUCAAAGGUGCUUCGAGGUUUACUGCCGGUAAAUCCCUGCAGCCGCCUCGCACCGCCUUAUAGUCUAGCUGCAGGAAAUGAAUUUUCAGCAACUCCAUAUGCCGCCCACGUAGCUAUGGGUAUACCUGCCUUUGGCUGCCGGGCAAUUUCAACCCACGUGCGACCCGCGGGAUGAAAAGUUUCCAAAUUUUCACCAAAAUUCGUGUGUGAUG
Long non-coding RNA from Diprion similis, 871 nucleotides. RefSeq lists it as uncharacterized. Lineage: Eukaryota; Metazoa; Arthropoda; Insecta; Hymenoptera; Diprionidae. The record is from RefSeq and is a predicted model, not a curated record. The transcript has 3 exons.